This is a long non-coding RNA of Macrobrachium nipponense, 584 nucleotides long. RefSeq lists it as uncharacterized. NCBI's taxonomy places the organism in Eukaryota, Metazoa, Arthropoda, Malacostraca, Decapoda, Palaemonidae. The transcript is spliced from 2 exons. The record is from RefSeq and is a predicted model, not a curated record.
GCCUUAGUUGGAUAUCGCUAGUCCGUCUGAGCUCACUAUGGAACUUCUACAACAACCACUCGUCGCCCUAGUGUGUCAGGCAGACGGAGGAGGAUAAAGUUUCAACGACGAGUGAUUAUGAAACGGCCACGUUAUCCUCGGAAGUGGUUAUUUCGGAGGUAGUUCCCCUAGAGAUUGAUCCUUCGGAGGCUCUGUCUUACGAGGAAGCAGCUCAGGCAGCUAUCACAACGAUGCUGGAGGUCAUUCCCUUUGAAGUGGCCCUUCUGGAAGACAUGGCGUUGGGCUCGGAUCUCUUGGUACCCGUAGUGGUCAUGUAAACCGUUCUGACAUCUCGGUGGAUGAUAGUUCCUACGAUAAAGUAUCAUUCGAAGUUUCUCCGAUGGUGGAUCCUUCGGAGGUAGUCGAGGAUAGGCCUGUAUUGGUUUUCUUCUCAUGAACGAUGUCGAAGGAUAUUCAUAAUUUUUGUUUAUUAAUAACUAUGGUUUUUUAUAUAUAUAAAAGCAAAUGUUGUACAUAAUGAAUUUUAAACAUUUCUGCUGGUCAGAUUACGACGAUUUUCAAAUAAAUGAAUUAACUGGAAAAAA